ACUAAACCUGUAGUAGCGCUGUGUUUAACGUAUUUGGACGCGAGUUCAACUCUCGCCACCUCCACCA
RNAcentral lists this transfer-messenger RNA (67 nucleotides) under Candidatus Cryosericum odellii. RNAcentral's name for it is "partial transfer-messenger RNA". It matches the Rfam family "transfer-messenger RNA", at positions 307 to 374 of the family's 374-position model. Rfam says of the family: Bacterial tmRNA, also known as 10Sa RNA or SsrA, is named for its dual tRNA and mRNA-like properties. Its role is to liberate the mRNA from a stalled ribosome. Lineage: Bacteria; Pseudomonadati; Candidatus Cryosericota; Candidatus Cryosericia; Candidatus Cryosericales; Candidatus Cryosericaceae. The record is from RNAcentral.